Molecule: ribosomal RNA, 446 nt
Filed under: uncultured bacterium
Lineage: Bacteria
Description: partial 16S ribosomal RNA
Rfam family: Bacterial small subunit ribosomal RNA
Source: RNAcentral
CCUACGGGCGACAGCAGUCGAGAAUCAUUCACAAUGGGGGAAACCCUGAUGGUGCGACGCCGCGUGGGGGAAUGAAGGUCUUCGGAUUGUAAACCCCUGUCAUGUGGGAGCAAAUUAAAAAGAUAGUACCACAAGAGGAAGAGACGGCUAACUCUGUGCCAGCAGCCGCGGUAAUACAGAGGUCUCAAGCGUUGUUCGGAAUCACUGGGCGUAAAGCGUGCGUAGGCUGUUUCGUAAGUCGUGUGUGAAAGGCGCGGGCUCAACCCGCGGACGGCACAUGAUACUGCGAGACUAGAGUAAGGGAGGGGGAACCGGAAUUCGCGGUGUAGCAGUGAAAUGCGUAGAUAUCGAGAGGAACACUCGUGGCGAAGGCGGGUUCCUGGACAUUAACUGACGCUGAGGCACGAAGGCCAGGGGAGCGAAAGGGAUUAGAUACCCUGGUAGUC